This 1378-nucleotide ribosomal RNA is filed under the name Klebsiella pneumoniae. RNAcentral's name for it is "partial 23S ribosomal RNA". It matches the Rfam family "Bacterial large subunit ribosomal RNA", at positions 104 to 1530 of the family's 2925-position model. The record is from RNAcentral. Lineage: Bacteria; Pseudomonadati; Pseudomonadota; Gammaproteobacteria; Enterobacterales; Enterobacteriaceae.
CCGGCGAUGUCCGAAUGGGGAAACCCAGUGCAAUUCGUUGCACUAUCGUUAACUGAAUACAUAGGUUAACGAGGCGAACCGGGGGAACUGAAACAUCUAAGUACCCCGAGGAAAAGAAAUCAACCGAGAUUCCCCCAGUAGCGGCGAGCGAACGGGGAGCAGCCCAGAGUCUGAAUCAGCUUGUGUGUUAGUGGAACGGUCUGGAAAGUCCGACGGUACAGGGUGAUAGUCCCGUACACCAAAAUGCACAGGUUGUGAACUCGAAGAGUAGGGCGGGACACGUGGUAUCCUGUCUGAAUAUGGGGGGACCAUCCUCCAAGGCUAAAUACUCCUGACUGACCGAUAGUGAACCAGUACCGUGAGGGAAAGGCGAAAAGAACCCCGGCGAGGGGAGUGAAAAAGAACCUGAAACCGUGUACGUACAAGCAGUGGGAGCACCUUCGGGUGUGACUGCGUACCUUUUGUAUAAUGGGUCAGCGACUUAUAUUCUGUAGCAAGGUUAACCGUAUAGGGGAGCCGCAGGGAAACCGAGUCUUAACUGGGCGUUAAGUUGCAGGGUAUAGACCCGAAACCCGGUGAUCUAGCCAUGGGCAGGUUGAAGGUUGGGUAACACUAACUGGAGGACCGAACCGACUAAUGUUGAAAAAUUAGCGGAUGACUUGUGGCUGGGGGUGAAAGGCCAAUCAAACCGGGAGAUAGCUGGUUCUCCCCGAAAGCUAUUUAGGUAGCGCCUCGUGAAUUCAUCUUCGGGGGUAGAGCACUGUUUCGGCUAGGGGGUCAUCCCGACUUACCAACCCGAUGCAAACUACGAAUACCGAAGAAUGUUAUCACGGGAGACACACGGCGGGUGCUAACGUCCGUCGUGAAGAGGGAAACAACCCAGACCGCCAGCUAAGGUCCCAAAGUCAUGGUUAAGUGGGAAACGAUGUGGGAAGGCACAGACAGCCAGGAUGUUGGCUUAGAAGCAGCCAUCAUUUAAAGAAAGCGUAAUAGCUCACUGGUCGAGUCGGCCUGCGCGGAAGAUGUAACGGGGCUAAACCAUGCACCGAAGCUGCGGCAGCGACACUAUGUGUUGUUGGGUAGGGGAGCGUUCUGUAAGCCUGUGAAGGUGACCUGUGAGGGUUGCUGGAGGUAUCAGAAGUGCGAAUGCUGACAUAAGUAACGAUAAAGCGGGUGAAAAGCCCGCUCGCCGGAAGACCAAGGGUUCCUGUCCAACGUUAAUCGGGGCAGGGUGAGUCGACCCCUAAGGCGAGGCCGAAAGGCGUAGUCGAUGGGAAACAGGUUAAUAUUCCUGUACUUGGUGUUACUGCGAAGGGGGGACGGAGAAGGCUAUGUUAGCCGGGCGACGGUUGUCCCGGUUUAAGCAUGUAGGCUGGUU